CAAUGAGAUAUAAUAUGCGCAGAAUGAACCAAAACUAGUCGGAUGAUGAACGUGAUCUCACGUGGAACAAAUGCUACGCUUGUUUACAUUUAAAUCUUGCUAAAGUGAGAGAUGAAUGAGCAUUUGUCAAUUUCAUGCAUAAAAAGAUGACAAUAGAAAUUGAUGAAAUUAAAAGCAAUGAUUUUAUUACCACCUAUAUUAUGUCUUAUGCAAAACAAUGCCGGUAUAAUUGAAAGUUUAUCAAUAAAAGCCGCAUCAAUUUGUCUGAAGUUAUUCAUAUCCGUUCGUCCAUCUUACACCACUCUAAAUACUUUUUGAUUCAUGAAAUAUUUGUUUUAUAAACUAUAAAUAUAAUUUAGAAUUAAUAGACAUGAACUGUUUGGAAAAUGACGAAAUGUUUUUUUAUUAUGCUUUAAAAAUCUUAAAAGUAUAGUGACAAUGCAAUUAAAUCCGUUCUUUUGAAUGCAAUUUGUGCUGCAAUUAUUAAAAUCGUAUUAUUUACAUAACGAACUCCAACUUCAGUGGAUUAUUUUCAGCAGACCAUCAAAUUGCGUUGUAAUAAAGUUACUUAAUAGUUUCUGUGGAAAUAAUGUCUGGAGAACAGUUUUCAUUAGUUUGGAAUAGUUUUCCACGAAAUUUAUCAUCAGGAUUGUAUACAUUAUUAACUGAUGAGCAGCUAGUCGAUGUAACACUAGCUGCAGAAGGCCAAAUAUUACGUGCACAUAAGUUAAUAUUAUCAGUUUGUAGUACAUACUUCAGGGAAUUGUUCAAGGAAAAUUCUUGCAAACAUCCAAUUGUGAUUUUGAAAGAUGUCAAUUACCGAGAUUUAUCAGCAAUGUUACAUUUCAUGUAUCAAGGAGAAGUUAAUAUUAAGCAGGAAGAUAUUGCUAGUUUUUUGAAAGUUGCUGAAACUUUACAAAUAAAGGGAUUAACUACAGAAACUGAAGAGAAACUCGAGGAAGCUUUAUCCAAGAACGCACAAGAUUUGGAUCAAAUAUUUAGCACAGAACAGGACAGUGUUAAUUCUGCAAAAUCAGACUUAAAUACUCCUAGUUUUGAGAAAACUAAACAGAUAGUACAGAAUCAACAAUCUCAGGGACAAGAAAUAUCAAACAGUGAACUUGAAAAAGAUACAAAUGUCAGUAAUACAUGCUGUCAACAACAUUGUACUUCCGAUUCAAAUUAUAAUACACAAGAUAUUCACAUGACAAGGAGCAAUUGCUCUAGAGACAUAGAACCAGAGUAUGACGAAGAGGAACCACUAGACUGUACAGCUGAUAUAAGUCAUGUGGAAUCCAAGCAUGAACCACUGGAUUAUACUCUUGAUAUUGAUGUAGAAACCGGCUAUAAAGCAUAUUUACCUAAUGAACCGUUUCAUAAGCCCGAAGAAAAUCAAAAUAAAAAAGAUUUUUUACCAGACAUGCAGUUAGUUCCCUACAGUCAAAAUGUGCAAUCUCAACCAUUUGUAGUAACAUGGUGCAGAAAAGUUUGGGUCAGUUUCGUAAAAUGGAAGUACCCGAACGUUGUGGUGGUAGAAGAGAUCUGCAUCCGCACCAUUUUGGACCAAUUUCGAAAUCACGGGAUUUAUACUUUGCUGAUUCAAGCCCGUUCAAUCGCGGAAAACAUUCGGGGCCAUUUAAUUCACCUGACAUCGUCCAGAAGAUUCCUUCGAGCAGGCUUGUCCACAAGAUGCGGUCUUUACGUGUGGAAGGACCUUGAUUAUUUCUCCGUAGAUAAUCAAUUAUUAAACUCACCAUGCUCCUUUAGAGGUCGACCCAUCACGGAGUCCAACAUUCAGGACUACGUCAGCGAUCUCACGUCCAAGUUCUUCCCACCGGGACAACCACCGUGGCAGGUGCACGUAAUAAAUUGUUUCCUCCGCGGAGAAGAGUAUCAAGUUUGCCUGGUGAGGGUCCAUCAUCUGCUACUGCGUCAGGAACACCUAGCACUCGCAGAUUUUCUUCCGUUAAGAUACUCCACCGACGGUUGGACGUGUCAAGACCCAGAUUCACCCUUCACCAAUCUUUACGCCGAACCCGCUGCACUUCCGAAACUCUAUCAAAAGCUCACCGAGAGCUUCAGCAAUUAUUGGAACGAGUUUCUUUAUAAUAACGACCCGAACGAGAGGCCGGAGAUUCUGAAGAAGCAGAUCGGCAGUUUUCAGUGCGCAAAAAUCGGUGUUAUAGUUCUAGUUUCUUCGCUGAAAGAGUUGACGAGACGGUACAGAAAAGGUGAAAAGCGAGGUUUCUUCGAGGUCUUCUCCAUCCUCCAACGGGAGGCAAACAAACGCAGCUUCGGUCCCCUAGUGUUUCUACGAGCCUUGCUAAAAUCAAUGAAUCCUUUCGAGGCGAUAUACUAUGUCAUCACCUGGUUAUGGUAUCUGGCUAUCACGUUGACCCUGAAAACACCAAUACUGUUAUUGCGAGAACUUCGAGCCCUAAAAUCGCGUCAUAAGCACUACUAUCCUGACACUUUGACGUCCAUGCUGUGGUACUACGUUCCCCUGGUAUUCCAAGCCAGCAUGGAAGUCCUCUCCAUCACCUGGAUAGCGAUCAAAGCGCCGAAAAUGAUUUUGGAGGAGCUGUUCCUGAAGCAUCCGCAGGCGAAUCGUCUUCAGACGACGUCUCCUUGCGGUCGGAAGGUGGUUGCGUGGUCGGAGGAGGUUGAAUUCGAGGUUCUGCGAAAGAUUUCUAGUAUGACCGGCGCGACGGAAGCUGAAAUACUGUUAGCUGCCACGGUCGACGCCUUGAAGGAGUAUUUCCGUCAUUCGGAAGUUAGGAUACCGGAUGACGUGCUCGCCACUGGGAAGUUUACCAGUCAGAGAGCGAUAUUCGUGCAGAAUCAUGAGCCCAGAGGGGUUCUGUGUCUUGCGCUGCCUACUAGGACACCGCUUUUCGAGGACGAUCUGGUUGAAAUUUUACAGGUCAUCCAGAAAAACGUGCGAGAAGCGAGAUCGAAACAAAGCGCCUUGUACGCCAUUACGGCGGCGGAGGCGUCUGUCGGCUUGAUUUCUUCUUGUUUACCUUCGUUGAUGCUCAAGGUGUUGUUAAAUCAAUUAACGAGAAGGUAUUCUCUCUCCUUGACACACGUCGACGGAGAUUUACCGGUGGAAGGCGUCGAUGCUGUGAUGUACUGGAGACCGCCUCAAGGCAACUGCAAUAUGUCGAUAACUCUACACAGGUAUGGAAACGGCGUACGUAUGGGUGUGAUGGGUGACGCGCUAAUUGGCCCCGAACACUCAAUUAUCACGAGGACCUUUCCGAAAAGUGUGGAGAAUCUCGCUAACGUGGUUGGUGUACCAAGAACUCCUAGCAGGAAUUCGACGCCGAGUCCAGCAAGUCCGAGUACAUCGCCAGGACAUUAAAUAUGCAGGAGGACUAUGUAACAUAAGUCACGUACUUCUGAGAAGAUAAAUAUUCUCUUUUUUUACCAAAAGAGAUUUAACGAAAUUUCGACUCGUGUAAGGAGAUUCGAUCGGAUACAGAGAAAGAAACUAAACAAGAAAGAAAAAUGUGGUUAUUUUUGUCCUUCCCUUGCUCCGUUACUUUUCUCGCGUUUAAUUACAUAACAAGGUUAGUGUAAUAAAAAACACAUUUGAUUGCGUUUUUAUAUGCUGCAUGUAUAUAUUUAUAUAAAUAUAAAUGUUCGUAUCUAUUUAUA
RNAcentral lists this unclassified non-coding RNA (3660 nucleotides) under Megachile rotundata (alfalfa leafcutting bee). Its description in RNAcentral is "uncharacterized LOC100882692, transcript variant X4". Lineage: Eukaryota; Metazoa; Arthropoda; Insecta; Hymenoptera; Megachilidae. The record is from RNAcentral.